AUUGAACGCUGGCGGCAUGCCUUACACAUGCAAGUCGAACGGCAGCACGGGAGCAAUCCUGGUGGCGAGUGGCGAACGGGUGAGUAAUAUAUCGGAACGUGCCCAGUCGUGGGGGAUAACGCAGCGAAAGCUGUGCUAAUACCGCAUACGAUCUACGGAUGAAAGCGGGGGAUCGCAAGACCUCGCGCGAUUGGAGCGGCCGAUAUCAGAUUAGCUAGUUGGUGGGGUAAAGGCCCACCAAGGCGACGACCUGUAGCUGGUCUGAGAGGACGACCAGCCACAGUGGAACUGAGACACGGUCCAGACUCCUACGGGAGGCAGCAGUGGGGAAUUUUGGACAAUGGGCGCAAGCCUGAUCCAGCAAUGCCGCGUGCAGGAUGAAGGCCUUCGGGUUGUAAACUGCUUUUGUACGGAACGAAACGGCCCUUUCUAAUACAGGGGGCUAAUGACGGUACCGUAAGAAUAAGCACCGGCUAACUACGUGCCAGCCGCCGCAGUAG
Molecule: ribosomal RNA, 500 nt
Filed under: uncultured bacterium
Lineage: Bacteria
Description: partial 16S ribosomal RNA
Rfam family: Bacterial small subunit ribosomal RNA
Source: RNAcentral